This 497-nucleotide ribosomal RNA is filed under the name uncultured bacterium. RNAcentral describes it as "partial 16S ribosomal RNA". It matches the Rfam family "Bacterial small subunit ribosomal RNA", at positions 28 to 507 of the family's 1533-position model. The record is from RNAcentral.
GAUGAACGCUGGCGGCGUGCCUAAUACAUGCAAGUCGAGCAAACGGACGAGAAGCUUGCUUCUCUGAUGUUAUCGGCGGACGGGUGAGUAACACGUGGAUAACCUACCUAUAAGACUGGGAUAACUUCGGGAAACCGGAGCUAAUACCGGAUAAUAUUUUGAACCGCAUGGUUCAAAAGUGAAAGACGGUCUUGCUGUCACUUAUAGAUGGAUCCGCGCUGCAUUAGCUAGUUGGUGAGGUAACGGCUUACCAAGGCAACGAUGCAUAGCCGACCUGAGAGGGUGAUCGGCCACACUGGAACUGAGACACGGUCCAGACUCCUACGGGAGGCAGCAGUAGGGAAUCUUCCGCAAUGGGCGAAAGCCUGACGGAGCAACGCCGCGUGAGUGAUGAAGGUCUUCGGAUCGUAAAACUCUGUUAUUAGGGAAGAACAUAUGUGUAAGUAACUGUGCACAUCUUGACGGUACCUAAUCAGAAAGCCACGGCUAACUACGUG